GAUGAAGAACGUAGCGAAAUGCGAUAAGUAGUGUGAAUUGCAGAAUUCAGUGAAUCAUCGAAUCUUUGAACGCACAUUGCGCCCCUUGGUAUUCCAUGGGGCAUGCCUGUUCGAGCGUCAUUUGUACCUUCAAGCUCUGCUUGGUGUUGGGUGUUUGUCUCGCCUCUGCGUGUAGACUCGCCUCAAAACAAUUGGCAGCCGGCGUAUUGAUUUCGGAGCGCAGUACAUCUCGCGCUUUGCACUCAUAACGACGACGUCCAAAAGUACAUUUUUACACUCUUGACCUCGGAUCAGGUAGGGAUACCCGCUGAACUUAAGCAUACAAUAAGCGGAGGA
This 336-nucleotide unclassified non-coding RNA is filed under the name soil metagenome. RNAcentral describes it as "partial contains 5.8S ribosomal RNA, internal transcribed spacer 2, and large subunit ribosomal RNA". The stretch from base 1 to 120 matches the Rfam family "5.8S ribosomal RNA", at positions 35 to 154 of the family's 154-position model. The record is from RNAcentral.